Molecule: ribosomal RNA, 253 nt
Filed under: uncultured bacterium
Lineage: Bacteria
Description: partial 16S ribosomal RNA
Rfam family: Bacterial small subunit ribosomal RNA
Source: RNAcentral
UACGAAGGGAGCGAGCGUUGUUCGGAUUUACUGGGCGUAAAGGGCGCGUAGGCGGCCCUUCUGGUCGCGUGUGAAAGCCCGAGGCUCAACCUCGGAACUGCCUUCGAUACUGCGGGUCUCGAGUCCGGGAGAGGUGAGUGGAAUUCCUAGUGUAGAGGUGAAAUUCAUAGAUAUUAGGAAGAACACCAGUGGCGAAGGCGGCUCACUGGCCCGGUACUGACGCUGAGGCGCGAAAGCGUGGGGAGCAAACAGG